GAGGAGGGGCUGGGGGAGGAAGAGGAAAAGCUACAGGGUGAGCCAAAUAAAGACCUGUAUAAGGAGGAGCGAGAGGGAGAGCUUAGAGGGGAAGCAGGAGAAGAGCGAGAGGGAGAGCUUAGAGGGGAAGCAGGAGGAGAGAGAGAGGGUGGCUUGAGGUUGGAGCUGAUGGAGAGCUCUGUUCCACGGACCCUCUGGAGAACCAGUCUGGGACUGCCGGGCUGGCUGGGGUUUGGGAGGAGGGCAGCUGUCCAAGC
Molecule: long non-coding RNA, 257 nt
Organism: Scomber scombrus (Atlantic mackerel)
Lineage: Eukaryota; Metazoa; Chordata; Actinopteri; Scombriformes; Scombridae
Exons: 3
Source: RefSeq, a predicted model, not a curated record